Molecule: long non-coding RNA, 474 nt
Filed under: Mus pahari (shrew mouse)
Lineage: Eukaryota; Metazoa; Chordata; Mammalia; Rodentia; Muridae
Description: lncRNA (MGP_PahariEiJ_G0005832.1)
Source: RNAcentral
UUUUGAAACUUUAUUUUGCAUCACUACUUUCUCAAAUUAUCCUUAUAGGAGCUAAAAUUAUAUGAGGUGACAUUUGAGCCAAAACCAGAGAAGCAGACAUCAACCCAAGACUGUGAGGAGAGUUCCAUUGGUGUGAAGGUCAGUGGAGCUGGUGAAUUAAAAGAAAAAGGAACAUGAUCUUUUAAAAAUAGCAUUUUGCAGAUGAAACAUUUGAGGUAAGAAGUAAUGUAAAAUGACUGAUAUCCUUGUUAAACUGACUGAGCACAGAGGCCAUCAUUGCAACAGAACUGCCCUAUGCAGCAAGAAUGUAAACACUGGAGUUAGUUAGUUCCAACAUACAACUACACGUCCCUAAGGAAAGAAGUUGGCAGCUCCUUUUUCCAUGGAGCUUCCUAGAAGAGGACGUUUGGCUGAUGUGAUUAUUUUGAACUUCCUGCCUACAGAAUCUUGAGACAAUAAAUUUCUUGUGUUUUG